UUGAACGCUGGCGGCAGGCCUAACACCUGCAAGUCGCGCGGGGACUUCGGUCCUAGCGGCGCACGGGUGAGUAAUGCUUGGGAAUCUGCCCAGUAGUGGGGGAUAACGUCCCGAAAGGGACGCUAAUACCGCAUACGUCCUACGGGAGAAAGAGGGGGAUCUUCGGACCUCUCGCUAUUGGAUGAGCCCAAGUCGGAUUAGCUAGUUGGUAGGGUAAUGGCCUACCAAGGCGACGAUCCGUAGCUGGUCUGAGAGGAUGAUCAGCCACACUGGAACUGAGACACGGUCCAGACUCCUACGGGAGGCAGCAGUGGGGAAUAUUGGACAAUGGGCGAAAGCCUGAUCCAGCCAUGCCGCGUGUGUGAAGAAGGCCUUCGGGUUGUAAAGCACUUUAAGCGGGGAGGAAGGUUCGCGGCCUAAUACGUCGCGGAAUUGACGUUACCCGCAGAAUAAGCACCGGCUAACUCUGUG
Molecule: ribosomal RNA, 471 nt
Filed under: uncultured bacterium
Lineage: Bacteria
Description: partial 16S ribosomal RNA
Rfam family: Bacterial small subunit ribosomal RNA
Source: RNAcentral